GAUGAACGCUGGCGGCGUGCCUAAUACAUGCGAGUCGAGCGAACAGACGAGGAGCUUGCUCCUCUGACGUUAGCGGCGGACGGGUGAGUAACACGUGGAUAACCUACCUAUAAGACUGGGAUAACUUCGGGAAACCGGAGCUAAUACCGGAUAAUAUAUUGAACCGCAUGGUUCAAUAGUGAAAGACGGUUUUGCUGUCACUUAUAGAUGGAUCCGCGCCGCAUUAGCUAGUUGGUAAGGUAACGGCUUACCAAGGCAACGAUGCGUAGCCGACCUGAGAGGGUGAUCGGCCACACUGGAACUGAGACACGGUCCAGACUCCUACGGGAGGCAGCAGUAGGGAAUCUUCCGCAAUGGGCGAAAGCCUGACGGAGCAACGCCGCGUGAGUGAUGAAGGUCUUCUGAUCGUAAAACUCUGUUAUUAGGGAAGAACAAAUGUGUAAGUAACUAUGCACGUCUUGACGGUACCUAAUCAGAAAGCCACGGCUAACUACGUG
This 497-nucleotide ribosomal RNA is filed under the name uncultured bacterium. Its description in RNAcentral is "partial 16S ribosomal RNA". It matches the Rfam family "Bacterial small subunit ribosomal RNA", at positions 28 to 507 of the family's 1533-position model. The record is from RNAcentral.